Molecule: non-coding RNA, 787 nt
Filed under: Culex bilineatus
Lineage: Eukaryota; Metazoa; Arthropoda; Insecta; Diptera; Culicidae
Source: RNAcentral
AUAUUAUUUUAUUUUGGUUAAUAUUUUUAUUAUUAUUUUAUUUUACAUGUAAAUUUUUGUGUGAAUUUAUUUAAUUUUUAAAAAAUUAUUUAAUUGUUUUAUUCGCAGUGAUUAAUAUUAAUAUAAAAAAGAAAUUUUGUAUUAGUAAUAAUAUAUAGUAUUGGUAAAAUUUGUGCCAGCUACCGCGGUUAUACAAAUAAUACAAAUAAAAAUUUUUAGUAUUAGUUAAAUUGAUCAAAUUUUAAUAUAAAUAUAGAUUUAUUAGGUGAAAUUUUUAAAUUUAUUUAUUGUUAAUUUAAAAAUAAUUUAAGCUAUAAACUUUUUAUAAUAAACUAGGAUUAGAUACCCUAUUAUUAAAAAUAAAUAUGAAAUUACUAAAGUAGUAUUAGUUAUAUUCUUAAAAUUUAAAAAAUUUGGCGGUAUUUUAGUCUAUUCAGAGGAAUCUGUCCUGUAAUUGAUAGUCCACAUUGAACCUUACUUAAAUUUGUUUAAUUUGUAUAUCGCCGUCAUCAGAAUAUAUUAUAAGAUAAAAUUUUCUUAAUAUUUAAUAAAAUAAUAUGUCAGGUCAAGGUGCAGUUUAUAUUUAAGUAGAGAUGGAUUACAAUAAAUUUAUUUAAUAUGGAUGAUUUUUUGAAAUAAAAAUUUGAAAGUGGAUUUGAAAGUAAUAUAAAAUAGGUUAUUUAUAUGAUUUUAGCUCUAAAAUAUGCACAUAUCGCCCAUCGUUCUUAUUUUUAAAAUAAGAUAAGUUGUAACAUAGUAGAUGUACUGGAAAGUGUAUCUAGAAAGA